Molecule: ribosomal RNA, 1235 nt
Filed under: metagenome
Description: bacterial LSU rRNA
Rfam family: Bacterial large subunit ribosomal RNA
Source: RNAcentral
UGAAUACGAGACGCUAAGGCGUCGAAGUAGUGUAUGUCAUACUUCCAAGAAAAGCCUGCACUGUCAUAGAUAAAAAACGCCUGUACCAUAACCGACACAGGUGGGUAGGUAGAGUAUACUAAGGGGCGCGAGAUAACUCUCUCUAAGGAACUCGGCAAAAUAACUCCGUAACUUCGGGAGAAGGAGUGCCUUAUUCGUAAGGUUGCAAUAACAAGAUCCAAGCAACUGUUUAUCAAAAACACAGGUCUCCGCUAAGUCGUAAGACGAUGUAUGGGGGCUGACGCCUGCCCAGUGCCAGAAGGUUAAAGAAGUUGGUUAGCAAUUGCGAAGCUGAUAACUGAAGCCCUGGUGAACGGCGGCCGUAACGAUAACGGUCCUAAGGUAGCGAAAUUCCUUGUCGGGUAAGUUCCGACCCGCACGAAAGGCGUAAUGAUUUGGAUACUGUCUCGGAGAGGGGCUCGGUGAAAUAGACUUGUCUGUGAAGAUGCGGACUACCUGCACCAGGACAGAAAGACCCUAUGAAGCUUUACUGUAACUUGAAAUUGAAAUUGGACUUUAUUCGCGCAGUAUAGGUGGGAGGCGUUGAUUAUAAUCUUGUGGGAUUAUUGGAGCCAUCAGUGAGAUACCACUCUUGUAAUGUUAGAUUUCUAACUUUGAAUCAUUAUCUGGUCAAAGAACAGUUUCAGGCGGGCAGUUUGACUGGGGCGGUCGCCUCCUAAACGGUAACGGAGGCGUACAAAGGUUUCCUCUGAACGGUUAGAAAUCGUAUCUAGAGUGUAAAGGCAUAAGGAAGCUUGACUGUGAGACCUACAAGUCGAGCAGGGACGAAAGUCGGUCUUAGUGAUCUGACGGUACUGAGUGGAAAGGCCGUCACUCAACGGAUAAAAGUUACUCUAAGGAUAACAGGCUGAUCUCCCCCAAGAGUUCACAUCGACGGGGAGGUUUGGCACCUCGAUGUCGGCUCAUCGCAUCCUGGGGCGGUAGUACGUCCCAAGGGUUGGGCUGUUCGCCCAUGAAAGCGGUACGCGAGCUGGGUUCAGAACGUCGUGAGACAGUUCGGUCCAUAUCCGGUGUAGGCGUUAGAAUAUUGAGAGGAGCCUUCUUUAGUACGAGAGGACCGAGAAGGACAUACCUCUGGUGUACCAGUUAUCGUGCCAACGGUAAACGCUGGGUAGCUAUGUAUGGAGUGGAUAACCGCUGAAAGCAUCUAAGUGGGAAGCCCACCUCAAGAUAAG